GACGAACGCUGGCGGCGUGCUUAACACAUGCAAGUCGAACGAAGCUUGCCUACGGCUUCUUCGGAUGAAGCAUGAUUUGACUGAGUGGUGGACGGGUGAGUCACGCCUGAGUAACCUGCCCUUAAGCGGGGGCUAGCGUGUGGAAACGAACGGUAAUACCGCAUAAUGUAUUUUGACCGCAUGAUCGAAUUUUCAAAGAUUUAUCGCUGAAGGAUGGACUCGCGCCUGAUUAGGUAGUUGGGGGGGUAACGGCCUACCAAGCCGACGAUCCGUAGCCGGACUGGGAGGUUGAGCGGCCCGAUUGGGACUGAGACACGGCACAGACUCCUUCGGGAGGGAGGAGUGGGGAAGAUUGCACAAAGGGCGCAAGCCUGAGGCAGCAACGCCGCGUGAAGGAAGACGGUUGUCGGAAUGUAAACUUCUGUUCUUAGUGAAGAAUAAUGACGGUAGCUAAGGAGCAAGCCACGGCUAACUACGUG
Molecule: ribosomal RNA, 479 nt
Filed under: uncultured bacterium
Lineage: Bacteria
Description: partial 16S ribosomal RNA
Rfam family: Bacterial small subunit ribosomal RNA
Source: RNAcentral